Molecule: ribosomal RNA, 496 nt
Filed under: uncultured bacterium
Lineage: Bacteria
Description: partial 16S ribosomal RNA
Rfam family: Bacterial small subunit ribosomal RNA
Source: RNAcentral
AUGCACGCUGGCCGCGUGCCUAAUACCUGCCAGUCGCGCGAACAGACGAGGAGCUUGCUCCUCUGACGUUAGCGGCGGACGGGUGAGUAACACGUUGAUAACCUACCUAUAAGACUGGGAUAACUUCGGGAAACCGGAGCUAAUACCGGAUAAUAUAUUGAACCGCAUGGUUCAAUAGUGAAAGACGGUUUUGCUGUCACUUAUAGAUGGAUCCGCGCCGCAUUAGCUAGUUGGUAAGGUAACGGCUUACCAAGGCAACGAUGCGUAGCCGACCUGAGAGGGUGAUCGGCCACACUGGAACUGAGACACGGUCCAGACUCCUACGGGAGGCAGCAGUAGGGAAUCUUCCGCAAUGGGCGAAAGCCUGACGGAGCAACGCCGCGUGAGUGAUGAAGGUCUUCGGAUCGUAAAACUCUGUUAUUAGGGAAGAACAAAUGUGUAAGUAACUAUGCACGUCUUGACGGUACCUAAUCAGAAAGCCACGGCUAACUACGUG